GCAGGUGUCGUCUAGUGGUUAGGACGUCCGCCUUACACGCGGAAGAUCGUCGGUUCAAUCCCGGCCACCUGUA
Molecule: non-coding RNA, 73 nt
Organism: Diplonema papillatum
Lineage: Eukaryota; Euglenozoa; Diplonemea; Diplonemida; Diplonemidae
Source: the annotation of a GenBank genome assembly